This 495-nucleotide ribosomal RNA is filed under the name uncultured Eubacteriales bacterium. RNAcentral describes it as "bacterial SSU rRNA". It matches the Rfam family "Bacterial small subunit ribosomal RNA", at positions 31 to 523 of the family's 1533-position model. The record is from RNAcentral. Lineage: Bacteria; Bacillati; Bacillota; Clostridia; Eubacteriales.
GAACGCUGGCGGCGCGCUUAACACAUGCAAGUCGAGCGAUGAAAUCUUAACAGAACCCUUCGGGGCGAAGAUAAGACGGAUUAGCGGCGGACGGGUGAGUAACACGUGAGUAACCUGCCUUUUACACAGGGAUAGCCUCGGGAAACCGGGAUUAAAACCUGAUGAAACUAUCAAAUCACAUGAUUAAGAAAGUUAAAACUCCGGUGGUAAAAGAUGGACUCGCGUCCCAUUAGCUAGUUGGUGAAGGUAACGGCCCACCAAGGCAACGAUGGGUAGCCGGCCUGAGAGGGUGAACGGCCACAUUGGAACUGAGAAACGGUCCAAACUCCUACGGGAGGCAGCAGUGGGGAAUAUUGCACAAUGGGGGAAACCCUGAUGCAGCGACGCCGCGUGAGCGAAGAAGGCCUUCGGGUCGUAAAGCUCUUUUAUAUGGGAAGAUAAUGACGGUACCAUAAGAAAAAGCCCCGGCUAACUACGUGCCAGCCGCCGCGGUAA